Molecule: long non-coding RNA, 246 nt
Filed under: Nicotiana benthamiana
Lineage: Eukaryota; Viridiplantae; Streptophyta; Magnoliopsida; Solanales; Solanaceae
Description: long non-coding RNA (NBEN_LNC016010)
Source: RNAcentral
GAUGAGACUUGCUUAAAUUUUUUUAUCCCAAAUUAUUGCCUAAAUAUAUGUGAAUUCCAACCAAAUUAUUGAAAUAUUUUCCAACUUUCUAGGAUAAAAUAUUUUUCUUUUGUUGGAUAAACAAGUCACAUAUAAAGAACUCGUCAAAUGCCCUAAGAGAUUUUUGAUAUUUUUAUGCUUCUUUUAGCUAUAAAAUUUGCAUAAGUUUCAAUUUUUACAAUAUUAAAUUUUCAUUAGCCUUCUACU